UUUUUUUUUGUGGAGAUUUUGACAGAGCAUUGAUUACUAAAAUUAUGAUGAUAUGGUGUUUGUUCACCUUCUUGGACUGGUUCCUUAUAUGGGCUGAGCCGAUGUUCCAGUCGGAGAGCAUACUUGAGAUGGAGUAUAAGGAAGGAAUCGGGAAGCGUUGGGGGUCAUCUGACGGUCCACAAUCAAAGGCUCGGCGUCUCUCCCUCUCUUUCCCGCCUUCAGCUGUUAGGAUCCUUCCAGAGGCUCCAUGGCGAUCAGGGGGUGGAGGGGGGGAGAUGGCAGGGAAGAGAAGAAGCCUCAGGACGGGGCCUCGAGCGGGGAAGGCGGAAGCAGAGGAGGUUCCGGAGAGGGAGCGCUGGGUGUUCCCGGAACUCCCCGCAGGCGCAAUGCCAGCACAGUCGCAGAGCGCAAGACAGAAGCUGACGACGAGAAUUUCAGGUCAAAUCAGCUGAUAGAUUUUCUGGCCGAACUGGAUUUCUUCGCCGAGGAUGAGAGUCGAGGGGGAGAUCCUCCAGACGGCGAUCCGCGACUUCUUCCUCGACAUCUCUUCGCGUGUGCAGACAAAGAGAACGACAGAGGAACAUUAGACGAACCUCUUCCGUUGGUUCCCAGCGUUUCUCCUCAACCUUCUGAUCAGGAAUAUCCUCCGGAAUUCUGGACCUCGAGGCCAUGCGUUAUCAUCCAAUCUUUGCCCGAGAGUGUCACAGAGAAGGUCUGAUUUCCUGCAGAAAAUAUCUGUUCUCUGAGCCUUUCCUUCGGAAUGAUAGGCCUACCAGAUCUCUUUUCUUUGAUCGAGCUAUUCCGUUUUACAAUCGUAGGAGAUUCGACUGUUGUUCGGAGGGUACGCCAUUACCACAAUCGAAUUCGAUGCUGACCGCACUGCGUGGAUACGAUUGGAUAACAAACACAGAGAUGACAUCCCCUCGCUUGAGCGGGAGCUGCGGCUGUCGGUUCUCGGCGGUCGCAUUCUGAAGGAGUUGGUGUCAUUUCGCUACAGCCGCUCGCCGUUGUUCGUCGGAAAUAUAUCUGAGGGAGUGGACGACGAGGCGCUGAGGAGCAUGUUUCAGCGACACGGCAAGAUCGAUCGAGCUUUCGUAAGUUCUUCGAUCGCCAUAGUAAUUGAUCUUGAAAUCAUCUUCGCUGGCCCCAAUGUUCUUGGGGAAGAAACACGAGCGGCUCUUUUAUGGGAGAAUACGUGGUGUUCCAGAUUGUAAGGGACGCCAACGGCCGGAGCAAGGGAUUUGGAUUCGUGGAGUACACCGUCGUAUCAGAGGUAUGAAGAAGAAACAACUCCGUCGACUUUGAUUCCUUGGAUUGCCGCGGCGAGGGAGGCGACCUUAGGCCUUCUUUUUCUUUCCCUCUCAGCGGUGGGCGGACGAGCGGGAAAUAAUGCAUUACAGUCGUCAAGGUUUGUUCAUUGAGCGCGGAAGAUGGCGAGAGUUCUCUCUGAAUCAGGCAGUUUCGCUCGGUGUCCACGGGUUGCCAAUGCACUCCAUGUGGGUACGUCCUUAAACACAGGAACAGGAGAUCAGGAGAUCAAAGUUUUUCCUUUCUCCUAUCUGAAAUGGAAGAAAGAGAAAUCCAGUGGGCGAUCUCACUUUAUCGGUUCACGUUUUCAAAUGACAGCAAACCAGAACGAUGCUGCUUGAUCUCUUCGGGAGCUACGGGAAUAUCUUGGGACAUCACAUCGAUACGCAGAGCUCCGUCGCUUUCGUUGACUUCUCUACUCAUGAUCUAGCUGACAAUGGUGGGCCUAAUCAUGUGAAUUACUUCGCAGAUCUAGUGAUUCGUAAAUACUGAUUUCUCCACGCCUUCGCAAUCGGGAUGGGGAUCGCUUCCGUUAGCCCGGAGGAACCUCGAUGGCCAUCAGAUUGAUGGGAGACGGCUGACGGUGUUCUUCACGAGUCCGGGAAAGAAGGCCGUGGUGACCAGUCCACUUCUUGACUGACGUCGUCUUCUUUUUAUUUCCUUUCCUUCUUUUUCCUCCUGCGGUGAUCGUUUCUGUUCAUCCCUGACCACAGCACAGGAGGAUGGAGAAUGUGGCAACUAAGACGUUUGAAUCGAUUGAGCAUCGUAAGGACCUUGUUGUUCUCCUUUCCGAUUACAGUUUCCACCUGUUUUUUCAUGGCCUGUUGGAUCCGCUUUUCAAUCCGUCCUCAGGCCUCCAACUCUCCAAUUCAAGAGCACCGCGUUCUGGGGCUGUUUCUCGUCAAGAGCUUGUGAGCAGAAUCCUCUCUCUCUCUCUNNNNNNNNNNNNNNNNNNNNNNNNNNNNNNNNNNNNNNNNNNNNNNNNNNNNNNNNNNNNNNNNNNNNNNNNNNNNNNNNNNNNNNNNNNNNNNNNNNNNNNNNNNNNNNNNNNNNNNNNNNNNNNNNNNNNNNNNNNNNNNNNNNNNNNNNNNNNNNNNNNNNNNNNNNNNNNNNNNNNNNNNNNNNNNNNNNNNNNNNNNNNNNNNNNNNNNNNNNNNNNNNNNNNNNNNNNNNNNNNNNNNNNNNNNNNNNNNNNNNNNNNNNNNNNNNNNNNNNNNNNNNNNNNNNNNNNNNNNNNNNNNNNNNNNNUCUCUCUCUCUCUCUCUCUCUCUCUCUCUCUCUCUCUCUCUCUCCCUCCCUCCCUCCAUAUAUGCAUAUGCGUAGAUAGAAAGAUUCUUGAUUAGGCUUUUUACGGAAACUUUUUAGAAGAAAAUAUUGCAUCUUUCAGUGGUAGUACAUCUGUUCUUCCGGGUCCCCUUCUGCAGGCAACACGCGGACCCUUUGGACCGAGGAUUCAUGGCCAACCGACGCAUAGAAACGCGAUUUCCAGCCUUCCCCACCCCGCGGAGCAGCUGCACUGGGCGCCCACAGCAGCGAUCCGCCGCCCUAUCUGGCCGACGAGCGGCGGCGGAGCCCUGCCGCAACUGGGGUAUGUUGGCUACCCACCCCCAACCCCCGGGGAGGAAGAGCUGGCGUUCCAUGACUCCUCGCCGAGUAGCAGAGGCCAACCGCCGCCGCAGCCGGCCUAUGGCGUCUACCCCACUGGCGGCGGCCCCGCGCAGGAAGCAAUGACCCUCUACCUGAUCCCGCCAGCGAGCGGCGUUCAAGACGCCCCGUUGCGGGCGCAUGGCUACCACGCCGCUACUUGGGUAACAUCGGCUCCGUUCGGCCCUGGCGUGCCGCUGCCGGCGCACGGCUACUACGCUGCCAGGGUUGGGCCGCCGGAGGCGACAGCCCGCGAGCCUCUGCAGGGAUGGCAACCCACCUACACUCCGCCCCGGUCCCCAACUUUGCGGCGCUCCUUCGCCGACGCUUUGCGAUCACCGCGCAGCAUCGUUAGCGAUGGCGACGGCGGCAGGGACGGCUACGAGAGUCCUCGGGGCAGCCGCCUGCAGCAGCGCACCAGCGGGAGCCAAUGAACAGUGCGCUACGUGAACCCCUUUCCUCGGGAUGAAGUUUCGUGCCCCAGGAAAUAAAAGAGGAAAUAAAGGAGGAAAAGUUUCGUGGCCUUUUGCACGACUUCAGCUUACGAGCGUUGUUGCUGAAAAGGUAAGAUGUCGAUUCUGGGUAAGCCGAUCAUGAUCGCUCGUCGAUCCGAUCAGAAUGAUCGACGAUCCGAUCAGCCAAUAAGCGCUGAUCGUGAUCGUCGACUGUCGAUCAUGACGAUCCGAUCGAUCAUGAUCGGGUGAUCUCCAUAUAAUAUUAUUAUAUUAUACUAUGCCUAUAAUACGUAUAUUAAAUAUUUAUAUGUAAAUAUUAUAUAUAAAUAUAUAUUACUACGUAUGCAUAGGCGUAAUAGAUAUUGAUAUAUUAGGCCUAUAUAUUAUGUAUAAAUAUGCAUACGAUACAUGUAUUAAAUAUGUAUAUAAAUAUUACAUAUAAAUUUAUAUACUACUAUAAAUAUGUUGGCAUAUUAUAUAUUUAUAUAUUAGACCUAGGUUUCAUAUAUUAGUAUAUAUAAAUGUAUAUUAAAUAUAUAUAUACAUAAAUAGUAUAUACAAAUAUAUAUAGGUAAGUACACUACUAAGCAUGCAGAGGUGUAAUAUUUAUAUACAUAUAAAUAUGUAUACGCUAUGUGUAUUAAAUAUAUAUAUAUUACAUAUAAAUAAGCCAAAGCUUAUAAAGAUAUGUAUUAGGUGUAAUAAAUUUAUUAAGAUAAGUAUAAAUUAAGCUUCCUCAUAUUGUAACAUAAAUGUAUAUAUACAUAGAUUAGUUGUAAUUCUUUAUUACAAUAUAUAUAUUUGUAGAUAGGGACAUUAAAUGAAAUUUUUAUGAAUGAGUAUAAUUAAAUUUCUUAACACACAACAAAAAUAUAUAUAUUUCUUUUUUGUUGCCGAGGGUGAAGUUGUUAGAGACAAAGUCAAUCUCCAAGAGUAGGAGGAAAGAGAGGCUGCAGCUUUGAGAAGCUGGGGUUUUGGAGAAGCCCUUUCGAUUGAGGUGAUGGAGGAGGGGUGAGAGACAAAGAUAGAAAGAGAGAGGGAGAGACACCUUAAGUUGCCUUGGCAGCAAAAGCAAAGUUAGUAGUGGAAAUGUUAGUCUCCAAAGACAAGAGGAGAGAGAGGUGGCAGAGGUUAAGGUAAGUUUUUGAAGAAUUAGUCAUUUAUCAUUAUUCAUUAUCCACUAAUUCUUGAAACUUGAGCAUUAGUAAAAAAAUUUUCAAUAAAAACUAUUACAUUUAAUGAAGUGGCAUAUUCUGAUAAUCGUGAAUCUACCUUGAGGGUCUAAACUAUGUCAUUGACCAAAAAAUUCAUAGGCAAUAAGCUCAAAUAGAUGUGCAUCUAUCUCACUGAUCUCAACCACUACAUCUCAAGUAUCUCAUUUAGUACUUCCCAAUUUUAGAGGUAAAAAAUCUUGUAUUAGCAGCAACCUUUGAGUUUUAAGAGUGACUUCAUUAUAGAUUCUUUUCCCCUUGACUAUAUAACCAUUCCCAUGAAAAUUUCAUUACUAAGAAAUUCACAUAUUGGCAACUUGAGUUCAUCCAACAAUUCCAAACAAAGAAAAUUAUGGGUGAUGCCACAAUCCACUAUGAUAAUGACAUUUCAACCAUGACCAUGUGCCUAUUGGAUGAUCUCCUUUAAUUUUAUUGUGCCUAACUAUAUUAAUCCAACCACCAAAUUUAGGGAUACAUGUGUGAUGAAUAAUUUUCCUUCAUGUUGACUUUUCUUCAAAAGGAGUCCAAUCAACCUCUAAUUUCCAUGCCAAUACCCUUGUUAUCCUCACACCAAUAGGAUAUGGAGUUAUUUUUCAACAAAUUAUAAGGUCAUUUUUUUCACAAUAGAAGAAUAAUCAUUUUACCUAUUAGGUUUUUAAAUUAGCUUCAAUUUAAAAUAAUCAUCUUCUACUUUUUUCAUUUCAAACACUAGAUUGAGGGUAUGAUUUUUUUGGUCCCUAGCUAGAAGUCGUAUUGAGAAGUGGAUUGAAAGAUUUCUGUCAAUCCUUGUCUCUAUUGAUUUGUGAUGAAAAACUUAAGUUUCCUUAUAUACAUUAAAUUCUUGAGAUAGUUGACUUAGAAAGUUUACAUUGAUCAAUGGCCCAUGUCUUGGAAAGAUUUUGGAGGUAUUCUUCAACUUGUAUGGAGGCAUCUAUGAUUUCUUGUAGGCCUUUAUCUCAAUAUUCUGCAGUUGAACCAUCUUGCUUCUAGAUGAAAAAUAUUUGAUAGGUGUUCUCUAAUAUAACUCUUACAAGCCUUCUUCCCAGUGUAAAAUCUUAUCAAUCUUGCAAAGAAUAUUUGUCUUCAGUCCACAAGAAUCAUUCUAAUGUGAUGCCCUCUAGACUCAUGAUGAUGACUUCAAGUUGCUCUCCUUCUGGAAUCUGGUUUAACUUGAAGUAACUUUCAACAAAAUGAAUCCAUCCUUUUGUAUUUUGUUUAAAAGAUUGGAAAUUCUCCACAUCAGUUCAAUUGGCAACACAUGGUAAGAGAAUUUAUGUGGAUUUUGAUGGUACCUUCAAGGAGGAGGGUUGGGGAGGUGUAGCAAGCUGCCAUCUGAUCUCUCUCAAGAAUUUAUUUUCACAAAACAACGAGAUGAGUACAUAUGUUAUCUGAAGUUUGCACAAUACUUACUCAUGCAUUGUAGGACUUGACAUUGAAUGUCUCCUCUCUUGUCAGUUGUUGCUCCUUAAGACCUUUUCUGUCUACUUCUAAUGCUUGUAGACAUGUGUCCAUGAUUCCUAGCACCAUUGACCUAGUUCAUGGUUCUUAUAUUAAUUUAGUACAACUUUGGAAGGAAACAUAUCUUGUAGGUCUAGAACUAGAACUAGAACUAAAUUUGGUAUAACUUGGGAUCAAGAAGACAAGAGUUGUUAAAGGAAGAUAACAAAACUUCGAUGGAGUCCUAAUUGGUAGGGGAAUAGGAAAAGGUUUAGGAUCAUGGCCUCUAUUAAAGUCUCCCUUCUCUACCCUCUCUUACAAAAUACCCAUUUUUAUAGCCCUAGCUCUUUUUUGGAUGGUAUUACCCCUACAUAGCCAUUACUCUUAAAGAAUCUCUUAGACUAGCCUCCAUCUUUACGUCAAUAAGAGAGUCUAAUCAAAUAUCAUGGGCUAGAAUUACUAUGAGGUAUUGUCUUCAAUAUUGAGGACUUAUUGUCAAUUUCUGCAUUUAUUGCUCUAUAUUUAUGUUAACAACAACCCAAAUAGUAUGACUAGAUAAUACCAUUUGUGCACAUAAUACAUAGGAUAAAUUCAUUUAGACACUAGACAUGCCACAGCUUGGUAGAGUUCUAUUCAAUUCUUUUUUCUCAUUUUAUGAAUCAAGUUGUAAGUUUUUAGGUUUCUUACUAAUUUAUAGUUUCUCAUCACACUUCAAGAACCCAUUGAUAGAUUUUAAUUAUUUUGACUAAUUAUUCAACCAAAGAAGAGUGUUAAUCAUUUCAAUUAAUUUUUUUUGAAUUCCCCUUUCAUAAGUUUUGAGAGUUGGUUACAUUUCAAAUCUUUAUCAAAUCUACAUAUAACUUUAUCAAAAUAAAUCAUAAAGAUUAUCGCAUGGACAGAGAGUCAAGUUUGUUAAGGUUAUCAUACAAAUGGUUGUGGAAUAUACUAAUACGUUCCAAAGAUCAAAAUAAUAGGAUUGUGAAUCUUCCACUUCAAGAAAAUCAUCACAAGAAAAGUAAAGGCAGUGACAAGAGCACAAGAGCAUCACAUAAUCAUGACAAAGGACCAAACAAAUCAGGCAAUGCCCCUAGGAAGAAAUCCAAUGAUAAGUAUACGUUGACCAUUACUAUGGCAUGCUUUUGUCCUUAGUAUACACAUAUGAGAGCCAUGUAUAAUCCAUUUUACACUAUAACAUUCCUCACAUCUUCCAAAAGAUCUCAGAAUAAUAAGAAAAGGAUCAUGAAUCACCAUUCUGUAUAAGAUAAUUCUCAUUGGAAAAUUCAUAGAUUUAAGAGUAUUUCACAAGUUGAGAAGACAAUUAAUUAUUUACUAUCAUGAUUUUUGUCCUUACCUGAAGUCAUAUAAUACCUGAAUUUACAUCAUCAAAAUUAGUGUUUUUGGCAACACUAAUUGUUUGUGUAAUAGCAAGACCAUUCUCAAUAAGAGUUUUGGAGUUAACACUAGUUCUCCCUUAUAAAUUUGGUAUAAUUGCAUUGAUAUGCAUAACGAAAUCAGAUUUAGGCUUUAUUUUCUUUCAUACUUUACUCUAGAAAGAUAUAAGGUAAAACACUACUAGCUUAUUGAAGUCCAAAGGUGCCAAGUAAAUGGGAAAGCAUGUCUAUUAUUAUUCAUCAUGCCACAAUAAAUUAAUUAAAAAUUAUGGAUACUCCAUGGCAGCACGAAUAAAUUAUUGGUGAAAAAAGCUGAAUCAUUUUCACAGCACUCUUUUGUCGCCCAAAUUAAUAGUAUCUACAUUUAUAUCGCUACCUCUCUGCACACUACGCUUCUUGAUCUGUAUUUUUUUUAGUCAUCGAGAUAAGCUUUUUGGGUGAAUAAGCGCAAGAAAGAAUGAUCGGAAGAAAGAUAAAAAAUACCUCAAGGCCAGUUUAUGCUGGUCUGUUUUUUCAUUAAGAAUCAAUCUACAAAGUGGACAGCAUGCAUCAUCUUAUCUGGCAGGUUUCCACCACGAAAUCUUCAUGUUGUUAGCAAGUUAACCUCCAUAUCCAUUAAUGUCAAUGUAAUUUAGGUGUCUCAUCCACCUCAGACCAUAUGGUAUUUAAUUGGAUCCAUCACGUGGGCUUUUGAAGCUUUACUAGCCUAUUUAAAGAGUGGAAAAGGUCCUCCAGUUUUCCUUGAAACGCUAGUGAGAGAGUUAGAAUGAGAGGAAGCAGGGUAAUGAGAGAUCAACUGGGCAAAUUUUUUCCCCCACUUCUCUUCCUAUUAUAACAUUAUACACAUCUUGGAAAAAUAACCAAUGAACUGUUGAAGUACCCAGAAAUAGAAACUAGAAACUCACGCGCUUGCUGUACAGUGUAGGGUGGACAUGGACAAUCUGGCAUCUCUUCCCCAUUUCUAAAGAUGAAAUGGCAAGUCAUCAAUGCUCAGAAAGGCUGUACACAGAAUCCACAUACCUCUCGACGUCCCAGAGGAAAGAGCCAAACGUGACAGCUUCCAACACCAAGUGUUUCAACGAAGGGUAGGUGACUGAGACCGGCUCAUCUUCAACGUUCUGUCCCGCCUUGUCCAGGAAAAGAGCCCGACUAUGCUUCUCAAUCAGAUCGACUGCCUCUCGCGACUUCAGCCUCGCACAGAUCUGCAGAGAUUUGGGGUCAAACUUCAUAACGUAGCUCCUCAGAUUUUUUAUUCUUCUGGGCCUCCUCUGAGAGUACGAAGGGUAGGCAGCAUCAUCCUCUGUGCAGGCAGGGCCAAAGGGGUGCCGCUGCUUUAUGUACUGCGGAUGAUUCACGCUUGGCAUCUGGAUCAGGUAGCUCAAAGGGUAAUCUUUGCUGGUAAGAGAGAAGAGGUACUCCAGAUGGUGCCUCAGGCAGGCCGACUUCAGGAAGUAGCCGUACAUGAUUGAGGCAGCGUAGAUUCGCCCGAGCUGGAGUCUCUUGAUCUGAGCUCUUGACUGGUUCAUGGUCGCGUCGAACGCACCCGUCCGACCAAGGAUGUUCAACAGGUGGAUCUUGACCAUCUCUAGGGAUUCAUGGUCAUAAAUGGAUUCUAACUCGUCCUCGUAUGAUCGGCAACUGUCCAAAGAUCCGCCAAUCAGCCUGGAGAGAUGGGGAAACAUCGGCACUUUGAUUUUGGAGAAUUGGUGGACAAUCAGCAUGUACAUGACUUCUUCGACGGCAAUCUGGCACUCGCCCUCCUUCAUUUCUGCUAUCCUUCUGUGCUCAGCAGAUAAAAUAGAGUAUCACUCAUGGGUUUUGGAUGAGAUGUAAAAUGAAUAGAGUGACAUGUAGGAAGAAGAAUCGCAUAUAUAGAGAUGCAUUGUCAUCCAAAGCAGAGAGAAAAUAGAAAGAGAAGCAGCAGGUCAAAACUCAACUGUAAGGUGAAAGGAUCAAAGACACUAACUAUGGAUGUUAAAACACUAUAUAGCAACAUUCAUAGAGUUAAUUCCGACAAGAACAGUAUCCCAAUUAUAAAGCAUGUAUGCAUUGGUUAGCAAAUACUAGGAGAAAGAAAAUAAUUGAACGCUAACAAAUCCAGUGUGAGAUAUAUCAGAAGAAGAGGAAAUUGAUGCCAUUGAGGAAAUUGUUGAAAAAAGAAUAAUGGACAAAGUAAGGAUACUUGGAGAAAGAAUUACAGAUUUAACAUCCAAGACCAACUUCGAAUAUACACUUUUUAGCUCUAUAGGUGAAUAGAUUAACAAAGGAUAUCCAAACACACAUGUUUUUAUGUAACUAGUUUAUGUACGAAAAUCUUUUCAUGACACAGGGAAAAAUCGCUUUUGAGCUAAAUACAACUGCUAAAGGAUAUCUUCAAACCUGAUUGGUUUCUAACAAAGGAUAUGUGAAGCACAAUCCUCUUCUAAGAAGAAACGAACAUCCAGUUUAGUUUGAAUGCAUAAAGUUAACUCAAAAACCUGUUUCAAGUGUCUAUUCUUGCUCCCAGAAAGAAGAAAAUUACAUACAUGUAUUCUGCAUGCUUGGCUAAAAUAGAAACUACCUGUGUAGUACUCAAUAAUGUUCUAAAGUGAUUGAACAAUGAAACUUCUAUGUUGCAUAAAUUUGGUCAUUCUGUUAUAAAUCAUGUUAACACGAUUAAGUUAUUCAAACGAAAAUGUUUAGGUAAAUGAGUGAGGUUAAUCCAAGCCCUUAUCUGAGUAAUAACGAAAGGGACAAUAAUGACGACAAUAUGAGGAGAUGAAAAGACAGGAUGUGUACGAAUUCUAUCAAUAUGGUACCACAAUAAAAAAACAAUUUCGCUACCGAGAUAUAGUUUAACGUAAUGCUUUAAAUGAAUUUCACUUUAUUUCGGUAUCAUCCAUUAAGGAAAAACAUGACGAGUAAAUGACAUACGCACUCCCUGUCAACAUUAUUGGAGCAGAUUAUUAUGUCCUCUUUAAAUGCAAGUUACUCUGAUUUUAGAGUUAAACAGUAAUAUAAUGUUUCAACGAAAAACUACCAACAGUUCAUAGGAGAACCACUUAUCGUCUAAUUAAGCCAUUAUCAGUUUCUGACUCAUUCAAGCCACCAGAACAACAUUUAUAAAUCUUUAGCAACAAGAAAACCCUCUCAUCUACCACCGCUGAAAGGCAUCACCUGCUACAAAUUCCUGAAUAAUGGCCAGCUGCCACAAAGCUCACUGGCCGUAUUAAUCCAAAGUGUCUCAUAAUUUUCAAUGCCACACUCUCCAAUAUUUUAUAAAUAUGAUAAAGUUGAAGACAGAUGAAAUUCACAUUUACAUAUUUAGAAUCUGGAAAUACAAUCCCGUGGCAUAUUAACUUUGAUAAUAAGUGCCUUGGACAUGAUAAAGAUUUUCUACUUUAUAAGACCUGCAAGGGCUGAUUACACUGUUUUCGUAAAAAUACCAUUAACUAGGCGAAUCAAAGAUAGUCUUUCCCACACCUUUCUCAUAUUUCUAUUGCGUUCCGUACUGUAACAUGACAGAAAGGCCUUCUUAAAACUAAUGACAAAUCGUCCGUUUUUAAACAAUAAUGAAAGAGCGAAGAACCAGGCAAGUCAUGGUAGCCUUUUCUCUUCGAUUUUUUUCCAAACACUUCACAUAUACAUGGACGCCAAGGGUAUAAUAAACGUAGUUGAAGUUAUGAAAUUCAACCAAAGUAAGAAAAAAAGCGAUGAAGGCAUGACCAAAACUACUGAACUAAUAAAAAGGAAUUUCAUUUUGAAGCAGAUCUGUGAAUUUAAUCGAUCAUCAGCUUCGUAGAGUAGUGCUUACUCGUGCAGGCAUGCUUGAGCAGAGCCUACGCUGUGAUCACGGCGAGCAACAGCCCCAUCUCUCUCCGAAGCCAAAUUUUCCAGUUGUUCCGCGGCAGCAACAGGGAAGAUGUGGGGAUGGUCGUUCAAUAUACCACCGAGGAACUUCCCCGCUGGCGACUCGGGCACAAGCGGCGUGCUUACACGCCUCGAUUCGCAUUUAUUUGAUUCAGCCCUGGGAAUUGAGAUGGAUUUCCCUUUUCUCGCACGAAAUUCAACCACACCCUGGAGUGAUCACGGAAGAAAAAACAUUGCAAUCAUUGGGAGGACAUACAGACAAGAUUCGAAUGAUAAGGCACACCAGCAGUUCCCUCUAAUUUUCAAACCCUAACUGGCGAGAGCACUCAGGAGAUUGUAACAACAAUCAAACACGCCGCUGUUGCUAGGUCGGCUAACCAAGGCAUUUUCGGCAACCGUAAGGUGAAUAUAAGAACGGAAAUUGAUCGCCUUGAAAAGAAAAUCGGGAGAAGGAUAUGACACCUGAAAUCCAGCCGCAAAACCAGGCGGAAACCGAGCGCUGCCCCGAACCCUGAGACGAAAACGCCCACCUCCGACCCUCGCCGCCACCGGGGACGCUGCCGGCGACGCCUCCACGGCGGUGAUCGCUCCAAAUCGAACUCCGCAGUCCAUUAACAACGGCGCGCACUUGUACCCGACCGACCACGCCUCGAGGCUGGAGCCCCGAGAAACGCAAACCUAGAUUAUAUCACCCGCAGAUCCCCACGGUCCGCCGACUCUUCUCCCACCUCCCGCUGAUAGUGAACGGCGGCAUGGAUCAGGGCAAUCAAUAGGUAUGGCCCGCGAAACGAAGAUUGAGGCGCCACCUCACCCGAUCGUCAGAAAUCUCUAGGGCUUGCCGUUCCCUGGUGACAAUAGAGGAGAGAGAGAGAGAGAGAGAGAGUGAGAGAGAGUCAAAGCCCCCGGUUUCCGGAUUCCUAGGUGCUUUCGGGCGAGGACGGCAGAUGACAAACAGCUGGCUUCGAAGUCCACGUCAGCCUGGGCUCGGCCCAUAAUUCUUUCACGUUUCGGCCCAGCCCAAACCAACAGCCGUGGACCGGACCGGGUCGGGGAAACCCGUGUCUCAUCGGUUGACCCAUAUGGAGCAUUCUCGACGCCGACGUCGAAAAUUCGAAAUCAUAUGAAUAAAAAAUAAUGACCUGAUAUAAUACUUAAUUCUCAAACGAAUCUCUUUGGCUUAGAGCGGCUAAAUAUCUUUUAUACAAUUAUCACUCAUCAUAAAAUAUUUACAAAAAUAGCCACCAUUCUACCUAAAACAUAUUUGGCAAAUAAGCGUGUAACACUCAAGAAAUAUUCUAUAAAUAGUUUCCUAAAUCAUGGAGCAUGGCCCUUCGUACCAUGUAGACGUGUGAACAUCUUAGGGCUUCAAUGAUUGGGCAUGUUUGGGUGAAUUAGACUUUAAUUAUAUGUUCAUUAUACAAACAAUGGCCAUAAAUAUUCUCACAUUCAUCCAAAAAAGGGGAGUGAUGAAUUAUCGUUGUUGACACUUGCCACAUGUGUUCGUUAAGUGCCAGCUAAGGUGACGCAAUCGCACAUCCUUCUUUGGAUAAGAGUUUCUUUUUUUAGAAAAAGAAAAAAAGGGUUGGUGUCUUGAGCUGGUUUGGAACAACAUCUUUAAAGGAAAAGAAAGGGGCAUCUUUGUGGGCCAAAAGGGUUAACAUUCUAACGAAGGGAGCCAUGGCUCUGGUCAAAUGUGUCAACAUUAUGUAAUGGCCUACAUUACCUUGUAGUUUUUUUUUAUUUUAAUUUAUGCUUAAAUUUAAUUUUUAUUUUUAUCCCUUAGUUUAAGGCAAGGCAAGUUUGGGCACCAUUUUUUAGGUCAUCUCUAUUUUUAGUAUUUAUAUUAUAAAUGUACUACAUAUGGUUAAGAGCAUGAAGAUGUGCCUUUGCUCUUUGAAGGCUUGCUAAUGAGAAACCGUUGAAGAUAAAAAUCAGAAAAUAUUUACAAGCUAUUUAUGGCAAGUACUGCCAUGAAAGAAGCUGACAUAGACCUCAAGAGAACAUUUUGAGCUCUGAAAACUAAUGUGAUACACUAUGAAGAGAUCCAACCACAUUAAAAAUUUUAGCUUUUUAAAAAAUUUCCGCAAAAAAAUCCUUCUGACCUAUCUUACCAAAGCAGCCAUGAUCUCCAUCAAGUUCAUCCUGUUCUAGUCACCAUGUUUGUGGGCUGAAGCGAAUGGGUGCUAGAAGCAUAAUUGGCUGAUAUUAUGGGCAGAGUUUUUUUUCUUGGGGUUCUUUCUACUUAUCCAUUUUAGAAGUAAAUGUUAAAAUAAUGUGAAUUCAGUUGACUUAAUUCGAUCUACAUCGUUACAACCUGGGUUGGUUCGAUAAUGUGAUGUGUAUGCGGACUAUAUAUCUCAAUAAGUCAACGCCUUAAAGAAACUAAGCAUUUUCAAACGUGAGCCAUAACGUUGAUACUGCGGAAAAAUAGUGAAAAUUUUGACCUAUGAUCGAAGUUCUAGCUUCACCGAGGCCUCUUCUGGAAGCCCGAGCUAUGGUAGCCAAAGAGCCUCCAACCAACCAUGUGGUCAACCUCUCGGCCCGAUCCAAUGGCCCUCGGCCCCACCAUGCGGUGGCCAAAAGCUUCACUGACACCCGUCCUCGUCGUCUUUGUCGCAGGACUCGUUUCUCGCCGGACGCGUUGACCAGACACGUCCAGGCAUGUCGUCGUCAUCUCCUCCAACCCGCAGAAAAACAACAGAUUUUCGGGCCGCGAUCGGAACAGUCCAGUGGACGCUCAGUCGAGAGCCAUUUCGGAGAAGAAGAAGAAGAAGAAGAAGAAGAAGAAGAAGAAGAAGAAGAAGAAGAAGGGUAUCAUCGUCUCUGAUUGCCUCCUUUGGAAGCAGGAAUCUCGGAAAGAACUUCAAAUAGGAGAGACAGAGAGAGAGAGAUAGAUCGAGGAGGAGAGAGAGAGAGAGAGAAGAAGAAGAUCUGAAGUGAGGAGCCAUUUCCAUGGUGCUCCACUUUCUGCAUCCCGGAUUCCCGGAGUCGCAGAGGAUCCUAGUUUCUGUAUGUGUAGGUAACGACUGAGAUUGAACAAGUGGUGUAUAUCGUUCGGUUGGCGAUGGAGAGAACAGCAAUCUACAGACCUCCUCUUUUUCAAUGAAGUCGUCUU
RNAcentral lists this long non-coding RNA (14410 nucleotides) under Spirodela polyrhiza (greater duckweed). Its description in RNAcentral is "long non-coding RNA (SPOL_LNC002688)". Lineage: Eukaryota; Viridiplantae; Streptophyta; Magnoliopsida; Alismatales; Araceae. The record is from RNAcentral.